Molecule: non-coding RNA, 74 nt
Organism: Candidatus Yonathbacteria bacterium
Lineage: Bacteria; Candidatus Yonathiibacteriota
Source: Rfam
GUCGGCGUAGCUCAGUUGGUUAGAGCACAUCACUCAUAAAGAUGAGGUCGGAGGUUCGAUCCCUCCCGUCGACA